Long non-coding RNA from Apodemus sylvaticus (European woodmouse), 822 nucleotides. RefSeq lists it as uncharacterized. Lineage: Eukaryota; Metazoa; Chordata; Mammalia; Rodentia; Muridae. The transcript has 3 exons. The record is from RefSeq and is a predicted model, not a curated record.
UUCAGAUGAAGAUGUGGAACUCUCCAUUCCUGCCUGGAUGAUUAUGGACUGAACCUCUGAACCUGUGCCACAGAGCCACAGCUUCCGCCCAGAGCUGGACCCGCCCACCCACGCGCUGCCACGAGCCAUCUCCAGCCACGCCCCUUUCUGCAGCCCUCACCCUAACCAGGAUACUGCACCUGAAAAGUCUGGCUUCGAAGUAGUUGAGUCCUAAAAUGAAACCCUCAGAUCCUUCCCGGCAACUGCAUGCUAAUGAGGGGAGAAUAACAAUGGAGAGUGUUGCCAGAGUUGGUUGAGUCCCGGAGGUUUCCCAGAGGUGACAGACUAAAAGGAUUUCUCUGUGUAGCCCUGGCUGUCCUGGAACUCACUUUGUAGACCAAGCUGGCCUCGAACUCAGAAAUCCGCCUGCCUCUGCUUCCCAAGUGCUGGGAUUAAAGGCCUGAGCCCCAUCACCCCGGCCACUGAGUAGCUUUUAACUGAAGAGGAAGGAGGACAGACCCAGAGAGAUGGCUUAGUGGUCAAAAGCACUUGUUCUUGCAGAGACCCUCCAUAUGGUGUCUCACAACCAUCCACAACUCCAGGUCCAGGAUCAGAUGCCUCCUUUUGACCUCUGUAGGUACCAGGCACCCAGGUGGUACAUCAGCAUACACGCAGGCAAAACACUCAUUCACACAAAUACAAACACAACUUUAAAGUACUUUUUAAAAAGAGAGAGGGAGCAGGAACAAAGUCUGGAGUUUAUCAGGGAUGCAGAGGAAGGGAAAUAAAAAAUGAGGGACUAGGAGCUGGAGUCCCUGACAGGCAAACAUAUGAGAGAGGCUA